UCUGAAGAAGAAAACUGAUCAGUAGAACU
Molecule: non-coding RNA, 29 nt
Filed under: Rattus norvegicus (Norway rat)
Lineage: Eukaryota; Metazoa; Chordata; Mammalia; Rodentia; Muridae
Source: RNAcentral